This 126-nucleotide small RNA is filed under the name Marmota monax (woodchuck). Lineage: Eukaryota; Metazoa; Chordata; Mammalia; Rodentia; Sciuridae. The record is from RNAcentral.
GCUGGGCAUAGUGGUGCAUGCCUGUAAUCCUAGCGGCUCAGGAAGCUGAGACAGGAAGAUCAUGAAUUCAAAGCUAGCCUCAGCAAAAGCAAAGGCACUAAGCAACUCAGUGAGACCCUGUCUCUA